UUAAAACUCUAGCAGGAAUCCCAACGACUAGUAAAAAACAUACAAUCACAUCAGGUGACUCCUGUGCCUCCUGCUGAGACAUGUUGUAUACUCGUCCAGUAGCUCUGGAACGUCUACCGCGUCCCCUUUGCUAACUGCCACCUCUGCUACCCACGCUAGUCUGGGCCCCACUACUAGACGAGCCCCCACAAUCUGUGAUGUACUUCGUACUCUACUCUGUGCACUCGUCCCCUG
This 234-nucleotide long non-coding RNA is filed under the name Prunus persica (peach). RNAcentral's name for it is "long non-coding RNA (PPER_LNC002024)". Lineage: Eukaryota; Viridiplantae; Streptophyta; Magnoliopsida; Rosales; Rosaceae. The record is from RNAcentral.